RNAcentral lists this long non-coding RNA (211 nucleotides) under Brassica rapa (field mustard). RNAcentral's name for it is "long non-coding RNA (BRAP_LNC002420)". The record is from RNAcentral. Lineage: Eukaryota; Viridiplantae; Streptophyta; Magnoliopsida; Brassicales; Brassicaceae.
AGCCAACUUCUAGCGUGCCCCAAAUGUAAAAUGCCAAAUCUCCUAUGGGCUCCUAGAGUCUCCUAUACCCCUAUUUCAUAAUUCUUUUUUUAAUCAAAAUCUAAACUCCCAAAUCAAAUCCUUCCCGGUUAUCAAAACUAAACCCUAACCCCCCCCCCUAUGGAUUAGUGAACCCAUGGGUAAAUAUUUAAAUUCUAUACUUUUCAAAUUC